This is a long non-coding RNA of Strongylocentrotus purpuratus (purple sea urchin), 224 nucleotides long. RefSeq lists it as uncharacterized. The transcript is spliced from 2 exons. Lineage: Eukaryota; Metazoa; Echinodermata; Echinoidea; Camarodonta; Strongylocentrotidae. The record is from RefSeq and is a predicted model, not a curated record.
UACUCAAACCACAAAAAAAUAUAUUAAAUGAUCUUUCCGAUGACUUGACAUUUCAUCAGCACAGGUAGCACAUCUAUGCACGAUUCUUAAACCUAGUUCAGAAAUAAAGCAGUAAGGGGCAUUUCUUUUUUUAUAACGUGUAAAAGAAUGGCGAUUGUGCGCAACAAGGGUCCAACGUGUAGCUCUCUGUUAUACGAUACAGACGUGUAAAGUGUUCUACACUU